This 675-nucleotide long non-coding RNA is filed under the name Equus caballus (horse). RNAcentral describes it as "lncRNA (ENSECAG00000041194.2)". The record is from RNAcentral. Lineage: Eukaryota; Metazoa; Chordata; Mammalia; Perissodactyla; Equidae.
UGUGUGUGUGUAUGUGUGUCCAUUAUAACCUUGGUCCAACUAAAAAUAAAGUGGGAUCGGAGCUGGCCGUCCCGCGGAGCAGCCCGAGAGGCUGCAAUCAGAGCAUUGUGAUUAGUGGUCAGAGCUGCUGUCAAAGGAGCGUGACCAGGUCAUCUUCCCCAGGACUACGGCAGCUCCAGUGAAGACAAAACGUAGGGCUUCUGUGACCUUUGCUAUUUCUAUUGUUAGGCUUUUAGUUUUAAUCCAAAAAUAUGCAGGAUUUACAGUUAUUGUUGUCAGAAACUUCCAGAAGAAUCAACAAAGUGAAGUGGAAAGAAGCACAUCAGGGAGGUCCGGCCUCGGGGUUUGGCCCCUGGUCUUCCAUCUGCUUGGAAUCUGCUUUGGACACGUAUCCGCCCGGCUUGUUGGAACCCCAGAGGAGUGGGAACCAGACUUCUCCCACCCCAGGAAGACAGUGCUGGUUCAAAAUCCUUCAUUGGCCAAAAGGACAGUUUUACGCACAAGAAAAUGCAGGAGAACAGAAACAGGAAUCAUUGGCACGAACCCAAAAGAGAGAUGUGACAACAGAAGAAGCGUCAGAGAGAUGCACCAUUGCUGGUGUUGAAGAUGGAGGGAGGGACCACAAGCCAAGGAAUGUGAGCAGCCUCUAGAAAGGCAAGAAAAUGGGUUCUCUCC